RNAcentral lists this unclassified non-coding RNA (218 nucleotides) under uncultured Actinomycetes bacterium. RNAcentral describes it as "uncultured actinobacterium contains 16S-23S intergenic spacer region". Lineage: Bacteria; Bacillati; Actinomycetota; Actinomycetes. The record is from RNAcentral.
UCCGAGUUGUCCCCGGCAGUCCUCUUAGAGUCCCCGUCAUUACCCGCUGGCAACUAAGAGCAGGGGUUGCGCUCGUUGCGGCACUUAAGCCAACACCUCACGGCACGAGCUGACGACAGCCAUGCAGCACCUGUGCAGGGCCCCGAAGGACACGGGCUUUCACCCGCUUUACCCUGCAUGUCAAGCCCAGGUAAGGUGGGGAUGACGUUGCGCAACUA